CCUACGGGGGGCUGCAGUGGGGAAUAUUGGACAAUGGGCGAAAGCCUGAUCCAGCCAUGCCGCGUGUGUGAAGAAGGCCUUCGGGUUGUAAAGCACUUUCAGUGGGGAAGAAAGCCUUGGGGCUAAUACCCUCGAGGAAGGACAUCACCCACAGAAGAAGCACCGGCUAACUCCGUGGCCAGCAGCCGCGGUAAUACGGAGGGUGCGAGCGUUAAUCGGAAUUACUGGGCGUAAAGCGCGCGUAGGCGGUCUGAUAAGCCGGUUGUGAAAGCCCCGGGCUCAACCUGGGAACGGCAUCCGGAACUGUCAGGCUAGAGUGCAGGAGAGGAAGGUAGAAUUCCCGGUGUAGCGGUGAAAUGCGUAGAGAUCGGGAGGAAUACCAGUGGCGAAGGCGGCCUUCUGGACUGACACUGACGCUGAGGUGCGAAAGCGUGGGUAGCAAACAGGAUUAGAUACCCGGGUAGUC
Molecule: ribosomal RNA, 466 nt
Filed under: Vreelandella stevensii
Lineage: Bacteria; Pseudomonadati; Pseudomonadota; Gammaproteobacteria; Oceanospirillales; Halomonadaceae
Description: partial 16S ribosomal RNA
Rfam family: Bacterial small subunit ribosomal RNA
Source: RNAcentral